CAGGCCAGGCUGGACAGGGCUUGGAGCAACCGGGGUUAUGGGAAAGUGUCCCUGUCCACGGCAUGCGGUGGAACGGGAUCAUCUUUAUGGUACCCUUCAACCCAAAUGAUUCUGUGAUCUGUUUGAUUCUUUGAUCUUAUAAUUCUGUGACAGUCCCAGAGUGUCUCUUCUCUUUCAAGUCGAGGAGGAGUAAUAUUUCACAAAGCUUUCGUUUCCCAGGAAAGGGUUAAAAGUCUUGGACUUCCCUGGCUGCUGAAAUCUCAGCCCAGAUUCCAACUCCCAGGGCUGGGCACCUUCCCCCCACCUCCUCCUUCUCCUUUGCCAGUGAAUUUCCAGGUGCCUUCAGCCUCUCUGUCUGUUUCCCUCUGGUGGUGUGGGGGCUUGGGGAACAAAGACAUCUCAGGUUUCCUCCCCCUGGCCUAUCCCUCCCAGGCCGCAGGGCUUCCAUUCCCCCACCCAGCCCGUGGUGGCGGGGCAGAGUCUGCACUCUCCAAAGAGACAGUUCUGCUGGGAGUUCUUGCUUUUAACCCUGUGUUCUCAGAGGCGUGCCCAUGCCUUCAGUGGCCACUCCAGGUGCCAAUAUCCAAACCUGACCACUGAUUGCUUUGAGACCGGCUACCUGAGAAAAUUCACUUCCGUGUCCAACCAUGAAAAUCUGCGUUUCCAGAUGUUCCUUUGUUUUGCUCCUUGUGCUCAGGGUCCCCUGCACAGCCCGUGUGGCAGAGCCGGUGCCUGUCCUGCCGCAGUGUCCAAAGGCGGCCCCCCCGGCGGGCAGGGCCGGCAGCUCCCCGGGGCCGGGCAGCGGCCGGGGCGUCCCGCAGCCUCCUGGGGGCCGGGGGCCACUGCCGGCCCUGCCCGGGGCUGGUGGGCUCAGGCAGCGCCCGGCGCUGAGCCCCGGCUGCCCCACAGCCCCGGCCCGGCCCCGCAGCUCCCCACAGGCCCCCAGCCCUGCUCCCGGUCCCGCACCUCUGCGCCCGCUGCUGCCGCUGCCCACCACAGAGAAACCCCUGACAUCCUGACCUCCUGCUUUUCCUCUCCUGGAAACCGGGCAUGGAAAGGAUCUGGAUCAGCUGGCAAAUUGUGAGGAUAAAACAGUGCUGGAAAAUAAAAAUAAAGCAAUUACCGCCCUGAUGUGUCACUCGUCUGUCUCCUGGUCACUCCCGGGUCCCCAAUCAAUCCCCGGUGCCGCCGCCAGCCAAGGGAGCCGAUCACCCAAAGUGGGUGAGGCACCUUCCGCUGCACUCUCUGCCCGCUCCCGGAAGGUGGAAGGAAUUCGGGAUGAGCCCCCGGGUGUGCGGAAAAACUGACAUCACCAGAGGAUUCUGUCCACAAAGCAGACAGAGGAGUCCUAUAAAGUAAUUUCAUUCCUAGAAAUGAGGCAGGAUAUGUCACAUUCCCCAUGGGAUCUCUCCAAUUGUUGAAGGACAGAGCCUCCUUUUCACCCUAAUUCUCCUGGCUACAUCUCUGUCUCCCUUUCCCCAUUAGCUGAAGUACUUGAGAGCUGCGGACUUCCCAGUACAUCUACUACAUACCCCCUUAAUAUGCUCCCCAUUUUUAUAUAGCAAACGAUAUUCAUGGCUCUGUUAAGUCUUUGUUGUUCUUCUGGAAGUUCAUGAAUUGAGCAGGACCUUGGCUGAGCAGCAGUCUGUGUCAUCAAUUAAUAACAUUUUCUGAAACCGAUGGCUUCUCCUGUCACUUCCUUAUGUACAGGUUCCCGGCCCUAUCUCCAGGAAGAUUCAGAGCAUCUGUUUGUAAAGACACUUUGCUCUUGUUCCUUUCAUGGGGGUCCCCCGUUUGUGGGACAUCCCCCCUGGAGCAGGGUGUCCCCUCUUUGCUGCAGCCGCAGCCCUCAGGCAGAGCUCAGCCAGUCAGAGCCCGCGGCGCUGAUGACUCACCAGUUUGUUAGCGUUCAGAAACACAUAAUCUCGGGAUAUGAUUACAUGCAGGUGCUUUUAUUGAGAGCUCUGGGAGUCGGAGUACAAACUCAGAUCUGACUCCGAACAUAAGUUUCGAACUGAACGUAUUUUAUACCCUAUCAUUGUAUAAUUAUUAAACUUACAUUGUUCUAUU
This is a non-coding RNA of Taeniopygia guttata (zebra finch), 2070 nucleotides long. NCBI's taxonomy places the organism in Eukaryota, Metazoa, Chordata, Aves, Passeriformes, Estrildidae. The record is from RefSeq and is a predicted model, not a curated record.